RNAcentral lists this unclassified non-coding RNA (398 nucleotides) under Hevea brasiliensis (rubber tree). The record is from RNAcentral. Lineage: Eukaryota; Viridiplantae; Streptophyta; Magnoliopsida; Malpighiales; Euphorbiaceae.
CACAGGUUUUUUUACACUCAUUAUGCAUACUCAUAAUUUAAUUUUGUAUGUAUAAUCUUUAUAUCUUCUAUAUAUUAAUAUGUUCAUUUUAAGAAACUGAACUAGAUGUGAGACCCCAACCCCACAUCUAGCAUGUAUUCAAUAACCUCCUUCCUUAAGGGUGGCUCUGCGCGGCUCAGCCUCAUGGACACAAUUUGCGUGGCCUGGUGACUCAAACUACCAAGUUGGCUAACCGGAAGUGGAUGAAGAUAGUGCAUCUUUGGCAGCAAAGGUUGCGAGUACAUAUGCAUCAUACUGAGAAAGGACGAGCAUGUGAAACGGACUCUCAAAUGAAGUUCUCCCAUCUUCUUGACACCAUUAGGAUGCAGGACAAGGAGAGGAUAAGAGUGCGUGUAAAC